Molecule: unclassified non-coding RNA, 335 nt
Filed under: Hevea brasiliensis (rubber tree)
Lineage: Eukaryota; Viridiplantae; Streptophyta; Magnoliopsida; Malpighiales; Euphorbiaceae
Source: RNAcentral
CCGUGAGAGACGAUUUCAGCGCGUCGCGGUGGCCGAGAUAAUGGGCCUGUUCGGGAAGCGUGAGAUCCUGCUCGCCGCCGUCGAGCGCAAUCGCGCCGCCUGCGGCUGGAAGCAGUCCCGCGAUGAUCCGCAGUAGCGACGACUUGCCGGCUCCGUUGAUGCCGGUGACCGCCAGCGCCUGCCCCGCAGGAACAUCAAAAUCGAGACCGGAAAAGAUGCUUCGCCCGCCCCUGACGCAUUCAAGACCCUGACCUGUAAGCCUCAUAAUGGAUUGACCGAUGGCUUGUGACAGGGCGCUGCGGUUCCGGUCGUAGCAGGCAUGAGAGGCAGACAAU